AUUGAACGCUGGCGGCAGGCCUAACACAUGCAAGUCGAGCGGAUGAAAGGGGCUUGCUCCUGGAUUCAGCGGCGGACGGGUGAGUAAUACGCAGGAAUCUACCUAGUAGUGGGGGAUAACGUUUCGAAAGGGACGCUAAUACCGCAUACGUUCUGAGGAAGAAAGCAGGGGAUCGUAAGACCUUGCGCUAUUAAGAUGAGCUUGCGUCCGAUUAGCUAGUUGGUGGGGUAAAGGCCUACCAAGGCGACGAUCGGUAACUGGUCUGAGAGGAUGAUCAGUCACACUGGAACUGAGACACGGUCCAGACUCCUACGGGAGGCUGCAGUCGAGAAUCUUCCGCAAUGGGCGAAAGCCUGACGGAGCGACGCCGCGUGGAGGACGAAGGCCUUAGGGUUGUAAACUCCUGUCACCGAUUAUGAAUGGCAAUACGUGAAUAUCGUAUUGUUUGACGUAAGUCGGGGAGAAGCACCGGCUAACUCUGUGCCAGCAGCCG
Molecule: ribosomal RNA, 493 nt
Filed under: uncultured bacterium
Lineage: Bacteria
Description: bacterial SSU rRNA
Rfam family: Bacterial small subunit ribosomal RNA
Source: RNAcentral